GACGAACGCUGGCGGCGUGCCUAAUACAUGCAAGUAGAACGCUGAAGGAGGAGCUUGCUUCUCUGGAUGAGUUGCGAACGGGUGAGUAACGCGUAGGUAACCUGCCUUGUAGCGGGGGAUAACUAUUGGAAACGAUAGCUAAUACCGCAUAAUAGUAGAUGUUGCAUGACAUUUGCUUAAAAGUUGCAAUUGCAUCACUACCAGAUGGACCUGCGUUGUAUUAGCUAGUUGGUGGGGUAACGGCUCACCAAGGCGACGAUACAUAGCCGACCUGAGAGGGUGAUCGGCCAAACUGGGACUGGGACACGGCCCAGACUCCUACGGGAGGCAGCAGUAGGGAAUCUUCGGCAAUGGACGGAAGGCUGACCGAGCAACGCCGCGUGAGUGAAGAAGGUUUUCGGAUCGUAAAGCUCUGUUGUAAGAGAAGAACGAGUGUGAGAGUGGAAAGUUCACACUGUGACGGUAUCUAACCAGAAAGGGACGGCUAACUACGUG
Molecule: ribosomal RNA, 495 nt
Filed under: uncultured bacterium
Lineage: Bacteria
Description: partial 16S ribosomal RNA
Rfam family: Bacterial small subunit ribosomal RNA
Source: RNAcentral